Molecule: ribosomal RNA, 237 nt
Filed under: uncultured bacterium
Lineage: Bacteria
Description: partial 16S ribosomal RNA
Rfam family: Bacterial small subunit ribosomal RNA
Source: RNAcentral
CGAACGGGUGAGUAACGCGUGAGGAACCUGCCUCAAAGAGGGGGACAACAGUUGGAAACGACUGCUAAUACCGCAUAAGCCCACGGCUCGGCAUCGAGCAGAGGGAAAAGGAGCAAUCCGCUUUGAGAUGGCCUCGCGUCCGAUUAGCUAGUUGGUGAGGUAACGGCCCACCAAGGCAACGAUCGGUAGCCGGACUGAGAGGUUGAACGGCCACAUUGGGACUGAGACACGGCCCAG